GAGAGAAAGAAUGAGUGUGGAUUUUGGAGAAUGAAGAAGAAGCCAUUGCUGCCAUGGGAUGGAGUGUGGAGAUGAAAGGUAGUUAGUUGAAGUCUGUCUGUCACUCACUUUGUCUUCUUGACUAACAGAUCAUUACCAGACGCCACAAAUCUCACUCCAAAAUUGGACACGCUUCAAUUAUUAUUUGUUUUCUAAAUAAAUAUCUUUUUGGCUAUAGAUGAAAUGGCAUAGAGUGGAAUGGAACGGAACGGUAAGUAAUU
This 260-nucleotide long non-coding RNA is filed under the name Trifolium pratense (red clover). RNAcentral describes it as "long non-coding RNA (TPRA_LNC004446)". Lineage: Eukaryota; Viridiplantae; Streptophyta; Magnoliopsida; Fabales; Fabaceae. The record is from RNAcentral.